UGGGGAAUAUUGGACAAUGGGCGCAAGCCUGAUCCAGCCAUGCCGCGUGAGUGAUGAAGGCCCUAGGGUUGUAAAGCUCUUUCACCGGUGAAGAUAAUGACGGUAACCGGAGAAUAAGCCCCGGCUAACUUCGUGCCAGCAGCCGCGGUAAUACGAAGGGGGCUAGCGUUGUUCGGAUUUACUGGGCGUAAAGCGCACGUAGGCGGACUAUUAAGUCAGGGGUGAAAUCCCGGGGCUCAAACCCGGAACUGCCUUUGAUACUGGUAGUCUUGAGUUCGAGAGAGGUGAGUGGAAUUCCGAGUGUAGAGGUGAAAUUCGUAGAUAUUCGGAGGAACACCAGUGGCGAAGGCGGCUCACUGGCUCGAUACUGACGCUGUGGUGCGAAAGCGUGGGGAGCAAACAGG
Molecule: ribosomal RNA, 404 nt
Filed under: Actinomycetes bacterium
Lineage: Bacteria; Bacillati; Actinomycetota; Actinomycetes
Description: Actinobacteria bacterium partial 16S ribosomal RNA
Rfam family: Bacterial small subunit ribosomal RNA
Source: RNAcentral